Marmota monax (woodchuck) is the source of this 1721-nucleotide RNA transcript. RefSeq lists it as uncharacterized. The transcript has 4 exons. The record is from RefSeq and is a predicted model, not a curated record. NCBI's taxonomy places the organism in Eukaryota, Metazoa, Chordata, Mammalia, Rodentia, Sciuridae.
UGAUCUCACUAGUUAGUUUAUGGCAGAAGUGGCGCCCAAGAGGGGACAUAUUAGAUUAAAUAGGUUGGGUGUGAGCGCACUAUAGAAAUAAGGAAUUGGUGACAUUUAGGGGUCACAAAAGUACCAGGAGGUACUGAAGCGACGAGACGUUAAAUUAUUAAUAAUGGGAAAUUCGACUUCUACUGAUAAGGACAUGUACUUGACUAUUUUAGAAACGAUAAUUAAUCAGAAAGGAAGGCAAAUAAAAAAGACUCAGUUGUUACAAUUCUUAAAGGUUGUAGGUGAAUUUUGCCCUUGGUUUUGUGACCAAGAUUCGCCAAAUUUACAUACUUGGGACAAAUUAGGAAGGAAAUUACAUAAAAUCUGCCUUUCUAAUGAAUUACCUGGAAAUUUUGAUAACAUUCAAAGAGUAUGGACUGCUUUAGAAAUUUGUCUUUUUGAUUACAUGGGCCAUAGUCCAUGGCCCCCUGAAUAUCUGUUGAAGGGUAUUCAGAGAGCCAUUAAGUCUAUUCAAAUGGAAAACCUGUCUGAGGCUAAGGUAAUCUCCCUUCCCUUAAGCCCAAUGAAGACAAAAGCUCUCGGGGCUAAACCGAAAGUGAGAAAUGUAAGCUUGCCUGAAGUGAGUCAGGGUAACUUGGAGGAAGAUCAUAGAGACAAAGAUCAUAGAAAGGAAGCCUCCGGAGGUAUAGAUAGUUCUCUUCCCGGAGGGAUAGAAAGUAAUCCUCCUGGAGAGGAAAAUCCAGAAGAAAUUCCUAGAGAGGUAAAGAGCCCUUCUCCACCACGUGGCUUACAAGCCCAAUUUCAAAAUGGCGACAGUGAAAAUUCAGCUGAGGAGUCGCAGUCUGAGGGAGAGGAAUCAGACAUUGAAAUCCAGGACUUGCGGGGACAUUUUAACAGGCUGCCUUUAACACCGCCUGCCCAGGCUAUUAGAAUUCGGCCAUUGUCUGCUAAAAGGACAAAAUUUAACAGAUUGUACGUGCCCAGCCCAUAGAUGGAGCCCUAUCUGUGUUCACUGAUGGUUCAAGCUCAGAAGGGGCUUUUCGUCCUAUCUGGGUGCCUGAACGUGCAAUCAGACAUGGAAGAGAUAGAACCGAGGUUCAAGCGACUGAAGAUCGACCCGGAGAAGCCCCCACUCAAAAGGAAGAGAUAUCGGAAAAAGACAAAGAGAAACCAGAUUGACCCAGCCGAAAAGCUGAUUUCAUGGGAAGACGUGAAGAAGCUAACAACACAGGCUUCCCGAAUAAUUCGACUCCUAGGAAAAAACAAGACCCCAGUGAUGAUGGUAGCUACCGUGAUUGCCCUGCUGGGCUGUCAGGAUGGUGAGUCUUCGGAGCAAAAGUGCUUUCUUACUGUAUCGAGAGAGUAAAUCAUCGCCUGAUUUUUUUAAAAGAAAAAAGGAGGGAUAUGUGGGAAGCCGUUCUCGCACGUGAUUGAGCUAUCUUCCUGGCUGGGUGUGAGGCGCUCAGACAAGCAAGCUGUGUUAGAGUGUGGGAAGCCAUUCUCGCACGUGAUUGGGCAACUCCCAGAUUGGGUGUGAGGCGCUCUGGCUAAACUGUGUCGGAGCUUUCCCGACCCUCUCCUGGUGCGAGAGCCUGUCCGUGUGGGGGGGGUGACUGACCACUGACCCUGACCUUGGAAUGCUGUCCCCCUCGACCUUCAUUGGAUGGAAUUUUCCCCUGAAUUUUUUGUUCCCCAAUAAAAGCUCACUUUCUGGCAUGGUC